Molecule: non-coding RNA, 510 nt
Organism: Vicia faba (fava bean)
Lineage: Eukaryota; Viridiplantae; Streptophyta; Magnoliopsida; Fabales; Fabaceae
Source: the annotation of a GenBank genome assembly
AUGGAAGAUAGUGAGACCAUAUCUGAUUUCUUCACUAGGGUUACAAAACUAGUGAAUCAAAUCAAGGUAUAUGGAGAAACAUUAACAACAAGAGUUGUUGUUUCGAAAAUCUUGAGAUCUUUGGCUCUUAAAUUCGACCACGUGGUGGUGGCUAUAGAAGAGGGGAAAGACUUGUCGAAAUUUCCAAAGGAAGAGCUUCAAGGGACACUUGAAUCUCAUGAACAAAGAAUGACUGAAAGAGCUGCAGGAAAAUCGAAGAGUGAUGUGGCUUUGCAGGCACAUUUAGGAAAAGAAACCAAAGGCAAAGGAAAAUGGUUCGACAGAGAUAGAUGCAGCUACAACAAAUCGAAUGGUAGAGGAAACCAGAACGAAAGAAAUAUGUCGAAUCAAAGAAGGCCAUACCAAGGCAACCAAAGAGGUGUUGUUGCAAAUAGAGGAAGAGGUGGUGGUCGAAAACCUGACAAGAGUCACAUUCAAUGUUACAAUUGUCAUAAGUAUGGUCACUAUUCG